UACGGGGGGAGCAAGCGUUGUUCGGAUUUACUGGGCGUAAAGGGCGCGUAGGCGGCGUGACAAGUCACUUGUGAAAUCUCCGGGCUUAACUCGGAACGGUCAAGUGAUACUGUCGUGCUAGAGUGCGGAAGGGGCAACUGGAAUUCCCGGUGUAGCGGUGGAAUGCGUAGAUAUCGUGAGGAAGACCAGUGGCGAAGGCGGAUCUCUGGACAGUUCCUGACGCUGAGGCGCGAAGGCCAGGGGAGCAAACGGG
RNAcentral lists this ribosomal RNA (253 nucleotides) under uncultured bacterium. RNAcentral describes it as "partial 16S ribosomal RNA". It matches the Rfam family "Bacterial small subunit ribosomal RNA", at positions 524 to 776 of the family's 1533-position model. The record is from RNAcentral.